This is an RNA transcript of Micropterus salmoides (largemouth bass), 5895 nucleotides long. It is a transcript of the gene named E3 ubiquitin-protein ligase RNF126-like, with no coding region annotated. The transcript has 18 exons. The record is from RefSeq and is a predicted model, not a curated record. NCBI's taxonomy places the organism in Eukaryota, Metazoa, Chordata, Actinopteri, Centrarchiformes, Centrarchidae.
AAUAAAUGGACAGGGUGGUAGUGCUUCCUCUGUGCAGAUAAUACUCAAGACCUCUUACAAGGAAAAUCUUUGUGUAGAGGCUUUCCACAUCUAAGGUGGCCAGAAUAACAUCAUUGGGUAACUUUUUUAAUGUUGAUAUCUAUCUUUAAUAUAUGAUGGAAGCGUCUGAACAGAUGGUUUAAGAAAGUGAUGAAAACAGUUCAUUAAUAGAUAAUGGCUCUAGUAGAGCAUCACUGAUGGCUACAAUAGGUUGGCCUUUGGGUUUAACCCCCCAAGUGGAGCAACUGUUGCAGGCAGCAUGAUAGAACUGUAAAGCUGUGACUCCCUCUCAUACACUCACUCAUUGCCUAGAUCAGAGCUCAUUAGAUGCUCACAUUUGGCUGCUUCAACUCAGUUUUGAUUAUACUGAAUUCUCAGUAAGUUAUUAGAAUUACACAAUUUGUGAUUAUGUCUUACAUUUAACUCACUGCGCAUCAGAACACUUACAAUAAAUUAGGUAGCCUGUAUUCCAAUUAUUUUUAACUACCUAAAACAAGUGCAUAUAACCUUAAACAUGUGGAGCUUCUGGUGCUGAUUUCUAGCGUUGUAAUACCAGUGCAAGUCAGUUACAGGUUGCUUAAUUGCUUGUUAAGCUGCAGCCAAUCACAACACUGCCUCCCCUCCCCCACUCAUUUGCAGCCUCUUUGAUCUAUGCUUGAGAUUAGGUGAGUGCCAUGAGUAACAGAUUUAAUAAUAUAAUCAUAAAUAAACAUAAAUCAUGUUUGAGUAGCGUUAAUGAAAUAUUCUGUGAUGUCGCCUCAGUGACUUUAAUUGGGGAGACUUGAAGUGUUGUUGUAGUGUUUGCCAACAUUAGCCAACUAUGUAGCAAGCUAACUCAGCAAAAAUGCUGCAAAUGACACCUUUUGAUAGAAACAUUUCUGCUGUUAAAGGUUUUAAUAAAUGCAGGACUGCACUCACGCCGAAUGUUUCAGCAGCUCAGUUUAAAAUAUUUAUUGACGGCAGUGAAAUCUUUGUCAAGUGACAGCAAGGUCUCUGUAUAAGACGUGACACCUUGCUGACAUCAGCACGUGAGUUUAAAAACUGUGCUGUUCAAGCUUUCCCCCCUGGCCGGGCCCCCGACUAUGAAUAGACACCGACUGUAGCUACAUGGUGGUGAUUCUGUCGUUUGUCAGCCCUCAGUUGUAGAUCCAUUUGGUAAAAUUUGUGGGGCAAAGAGCUGAAUUUUUCCAUAUAAAUCAGAUUUAUCUGAGAUGCUUUUGCGUUCAGCCAAAACUGUUUCCUUUCAGUUUGGUUGUGGCACACCGUGAUGAAGGAUUAAUAGCGCUUUAUUAGGCUGGGACUCUGCCUUUCUGCAGACGAGCGCCGUCUUAAGUUUAACAUAGUACAUCUUAUGAUUAAAGCAGGGGAGGAUGUCCUAAAUGGCCACCUUGCAUGUAUUAUAUUUAAUAGGCCUAUCUUAAUAUUAAUUGCCAUUAAUUUACCUCUUGCCAUUAGUUAUGGAUAUGUUAUGGGUUUUUUCCCGGCGACAUUGACUAUCUGGGCUUCUGGCUUUGCAUUUCCGGGUCUCUCAUUUUCUGUCACCUUUUCAGGCUGAGGAUGUUCAGACAAAAUACUCCCAUCAGAGGACCGAGGAGAAGGGAGCAAACAAGACUUGCAACUUUCAGAGUUGGUCUCCUCCUCCAUCCUGAUAUGGAAACAUUCCACCCACAAAAAGGAUGCAGAAGAGGUCUCGAACUCUGGCCAAAACCUGGACCAAGAUGAUAUGGGCACCCAUUUUAAGCUCUUUCUAGGCUUGUUGUAUAUUUCAUAAUGGCAUAUUGCAUCUUUGGCCAACAAAUGGGGCGUUCUGGUAUUUUGAAGGAUGUACAGGAGGUCCAUACUUCACAAAACUGCCUGGAGAGACCUAAUACAAUGGCGAGGGAUGAUUUACAUGAGUGGCGUGCACUUCACAAGACAAGAUGAGGAAUACAUACAAAGUCUGCAAACUGAGCAGGAAAGGGACACUCUGGUUCCUGAAGAGACCCCUCCUCAAAACAUCUGAUCUGGGUCCUCUGAUACCACUGCUGGCUUCCUGGAUUUGAGUCAUGUCAAAGACACUACCGAACCAGAUCUGAAAACCUUACUGACAACUCUGGCAUCAAAAGUCUGGAUUGGAGAGACGCCCAGCAGUAAUAUGAUCAAUGUAUGCAGAGAAAACAUAAUGGAUGGUGCCAUGCGAGCCUUUACAAGAAGGAGUUUCAAUCCAGAGGCCAAAUUAAGCGUCAUAUUUAUGGAUGACUUCAUGCAAGCAGAAGGUUCAGUGGAUGAGGGGGGCCCUACACGGGGGUUUUUCCGACUGCUCUCAGAGAUAGCAGCCUAUUUACAGGGCCACAGUAAGAACCUGUCCCUGGACAGCCACGCAUUACACAGAGGUCUCUACAGAACCUAUGGAGUUAUGAUGGCUGUGGCGCUGCUGCAUGGAGGAGUGUUGCCUUCUCUUUCCGGAGAGGCUCUACCAAAACCUCUGCUCUACACCCACAUUACCACCCGCUCUCAAAGAGGUAGCAGAUCCAGAUUUGCAGUGGAAACUCAGAAAGAUCAGUGAGGCCGGUGAUAUAACAGAGGCUAGAGCUGCCAUUGAGGAAGCUGCAGAGAGCCUGUCCUUGUUGGGGUCCCUGAGGCGUCUCACCACCGUGGAGGGACGGGACCGGCUGGUUCAGGCUGCCACAAGUUUCUACGUGGAAGGACAAAAGAAGCCUCCCAACAAGCUACAGUGCUUGGACCAGAUUUGACUUAUGUUUUGAGGAAAAUGCUUGGACUUUCUGAAGGACUGAACACACUUGGUCUCCUGGACCUGAUGAAAAUUCACGCCAGCAUCUUGAAGGAGGUGUUUUCUUCAUCUGAGAGGCCUCUAAAGGCCACAGACUUGAUCUCCCUGUUCCAAGUGACACUGUCCCCUCCUGGAAGCAACCGGUGGCGCCUGGAGAAGAGAGUGGAAGGGUACUGGAGAGACUUUCUUCUAGAUGUGGAGGAUGGUGUGUUUGAGGUCACAAUGGAGCAAAUUUUGGUGUUUGCCUCUGGAGCCGACAGAGUACCCGCUCUUGGUUUUUCUCCUCACCCAACGCUGAACUUCAUUCACGACGCAGGGCGGAAGUACCCUGAAGCUAACACCUGUCUUGUAAAUUUGAAACUUCCUAUCCAUGACACUUACAGACAGUUCGCCAAGUUUAUGUGCGAUGGCAUUAUUCACGCUCCCACUUCUGGUCUGGCUUAAAGUCACUGACAGCUAUUUUCAUAAUGGCUGAACUUUGAAUGUCCUGCCUGCUAACGUUGUUCUCAGGUGAUGAUGUUAAGAUGAUUUGAGACUAGAGACCCUUGAGAGGAGCAUCAGAUGGGCAAGAGGGAGGAUUCUCCAGUUGGACGAUGCAGAUGAACUUCUUCCAUUAGUGACUCAAGAAGCAUUAGAGACCUCCGGGUAUCAAGCCCCAUUGGUCCGGACAGGUGAUUUUGGACGAUCCAGCUACCUAAUCACUGAAGAACACCUGAGAUUCCUGCUUUCAUGUGGAUUUGGAACUACGCAAAUUGCUGAAAUCCUGGAUGUAUCAGUCAGUACAGUUAAACGAAGAUUGAGGCGCUUCAACUUGCCCUACCUGAUGAGGUCUGCACGUCUUUCUAAUGCAGAACUUGAUGAAGUCAAGUCAAGCUGCAGUCGGUUGGAGAAAAUGAAGAGAUGGGAGCAAAUGCUGUUUUGGCCAGACUGGCUGCUAUGGCUGUUUGAGUGCAGAGGAGAAGAGUGAGAGAGAGUUUGAUUGGAGUGAAUCCAGAGCGUUGUCUCACCGACUGCACCGGAGAACCUACAGUGCUGCAGGACCCAACUCGCUGUGGCACAUAGAUGGGAACCACAAACUCAUCAGAUGGAGAAUAGUGAUCCAUGGCGGAAUCUGUGGCUUCAGCAGGCCGGUUGUGUUUUUGCAGGCUUCAGAUAAUAACAGAAGUUGCACAGUGUUUGACCAGUUUGUUCAAGCCACUGCUAGGUAUGGAGUCUCGAAUAAGGUGUGACCAUGGGGGAGAAAACAAUGCUGUCUGCUUGUUCAUGAACAUUUACCGUGGAUUAGAAAGAGGAAGUGCCAUCCGGGGCAGAAGUGUCCAUAACCAGCGGAUGGAGAGGCUUUGGGGAGAUCUCUGGAGAGGAUUAUACAACAGUUUCUUGCCAGUCUCUUUGCCAACUCUGGAUUCCCUAGCUUACCUCCCCUCUCAAGGACGGUAUCCUGCACUCUAAUCCAGGGGAUAAUGAAUCCCUGAGGAAUGAGAGGGUUAGAUGCCGUGAUAAAACUUUAUGUCCCUGCCACCUUUUCAUUUCUUUGCAGCUCACAGAUGUGUUUUUGUCAGUGUAGUUACUGGGUCAGUUGCAGAACACAGGCCCUCCUCCAGCUGAUAGAGAAGAUCUCUCCUCUCCCAUCUGUCAGUAUGAAAUGUGAAUGGCUGCAAGACAAAAUGGAUAAACUGACAGCACGUGUGUCUGAUUGCAGGUUUAGAGACAAAAACUGCUGUGUGCAGUGUCCAGUGCACAGAGAGAACUUCGCAGUGGGAGAGCCAUUCAGACAGCUGCCCUGUAACCACUUCUUUCAUUCAGAAUGGAUAGUACCAUGGCUGGAACUGAGGAGGUGUGCAGUGGCAACGGACCAGCAACGGACCCCUCGGCAACCGGUCCGGACCACAAGGACCGCGUGGACCACUAGUUCAUAUUUCUACAGACGAGACAGGAGGAUGCUGGGAGAAAAGAGAGGCGGGAAGCUGAACUACCUGGUGAGGUCUGAAAAUGAAUCUGUGUCUGAUAGAUGAUUCCAGCCGUCGUCGUACUUGAAACAAGUUAGCAUAGCAUCGCCCUGACUGAGCAGAACUCCAUUUAGAAAACAAGCGUUUUAAAAGAUGUUUGCUUGUCAUCUUGAAGACAGACCUGACAGAGCAGGAAUUCAUAUGUUCAACAAAUCAGCAUCAUUUUGAUCAGUUUAUUGAAAUGAAAUCACAGCAAAAUGUUUAUUUUGGCUUCAAACCGCUGCAGGAAACCAGAUUAUUGAAUUAGAUCUGAGUGCAUAAACAGCACUUUAAUAACAUAACAUCUUUGAGUCCAACAGAUUACUGUAAGCUUCUGAUUUCCUCUGGUAACAGUUCAUGACCUGUGUACUGGAACAUAAUGACUGCUAGUAUAUUGUGCUGGAGUCUACUGGUCCCUGGGUUGGUUUUACUAUGUUGUCUGUUUUGUGUUGACUUGUACUGACUACAGAUGAAAAACAGCCUUCUGGCUAAAUCUGGCAUAUUUACUGAAAUGUUUCAGCUUCAAUGAAAAAUCCAGCUUUAUCUUUGAGGAAUGAACAGAGACGAGAAAAACCAGAACCUGGAGGAAAGAGACUAAAGAAGUGGAGUUUCUGCUGAGUUCUGAGAUCAACGUCUGAAGGACUCGGUACGCUUCAAACAAACUAGAUCACGUGACGUCUGUUUAUACCUGCUCCAAAUGUCAACGCUGGAAGACAAAGAUCACAGAGUCCAGAUGUUUCAGAGGCCUGAACCAGGUCCACUGGAGGCCUCUGGGUUUAACUGCUGUGCUUUGAUCCAGUGUGUAGUGAGGAGGAAGAGGCGCUGAAUAAACAGGGACUACAAAAACACUACAGACCACAUUUGUGUUCAGGCUGAACAAACCUUUGUUCUUGUGAAAGUCUGACUGAAUCAAAUCUUAUUGUGUCUUCAUUCUCUGAGUCCAUUUUAACAGCUGGCUGCUUUCUGUUCUGUCACUAAAUGUGUUGCUUUCUGUUUAACUUGCAUCCUGCCAGGGUUGGUGCUGGAAUAAUCUGAGCUGGACACUUGAGACUUGGACUCGAGUCCUUUUCAAUGUUCUCAUUAAAGGAGUCGACACAAAGA